This 1009-nucleotide ribosomal RNA is filed under the name Protodrilus cf. helgolandicus KW321. RNAcentral's name for it is "eukaryotic LSU rRNA". It matches the Rfam family "Eukaryotic large subunit ribosomal RNA", at positions 77 to 926 of the family's 3401-position model. Lineage: Eukaryota; Metazoa; Annelida; Polychaeta; Protodrilidae. The record is from RNAcentral.
CCCUUAGUAACGGCGAGUGAAGCGGGAAGAGCCCAGCGUCGAACUGCUAGGUAUUGCCUAUGUGGAAUGUGACGUUUGGGAGGUCCACGUUCCCUGUGUGGUGGAGAAACUCCAAAUCCUUUUGAUUGAGGCCUUUCCCAGCGAGGGUGUCAGGCCCGUAUCGGGUUUCUCCCCGCGUAGGUUGCGGGCACUCCUUAGAGUCGGGUUGUUUGGGAAUGCAGCCCAAAGUGGGUGGUAAACUCCAUCUAAGGCUAAAUAUUCGGACGAGACCGAUAGCGAACAAGUACCGUGAGGGAAAGUUGAAAAGCACUUUGAAGAGAGAGUUCAAUAGUACGUGAAACCGUUGAGAGGUAAACGGUGAAGGCAUCAAAAUUGCCCAAUGUUAUUCAGCCUCGUUGCUGGGUUCGGUGGUCUGCGGCUAUUAGUCUUGGGCUUCUAGAGCUUGGCGAUUGGGUGCACUUGGCAUUGGGUUCAGUCACGACCGAUUGCCCGGGGGUGUUAUACUAGUUUCUGGUGGGGUGCUUCCUUCGGGUAGUGCUUUCAAGAUUCUGGCUGCGGCCUUCUGGGCGAUUGUAGUAGUGCGGAAUGCUUGCUCUUUUGGGCGGCCGUUCGGGUGUUGGCGUCCGGGUACAUUGGUUAGACUGCAUGCAGUGUUCCCGGUGUCAUUCGGCGUCGGCGUUUGUUUUGGUCUUGGCGUUCCCCGUCCGUGGCGGUAUGGAUGUCCUUUACCGACCCGUCUUGAAACACGGACCAAGGAGUCUAACAUGUGUGCGAGUCUCAAGGGAAGUAAACCCACGGGCGCAAUGAAAGUGAUUAGGUGGGAAGCCUUUAUGGUCGCACCGCCGUCCCGUCCAUGUGUCACGUAUGCAGGGCGGAGAAGGAGCAUACACGUUGGGACCCGAAAGAUGGUGAACUAUGCCUGAGCAGGAUGAAGCCAGGGGAAACCCUGGUGGAGGUCCGUAGCGAUUCUGACGUGCAAAUCGAUCGUCUGAUUUGGGUAUAGGGGCGA